RNAcentral lists this ribosomal RNA (1430 nucleotides) under metagenome. RNAcentral describes it as "bacterial SSU rRNA". It matches the Rfam family "Bacterial small subunit ribosomal RNA". The record is from RNAcentral.
GGGGGCAACCCUGGCGGCGAGCGGCGAACGGGUGAGUAACGCAUCGGAACGUAUCCUGGAGUGGGGGAUAACCCAGCGGAAGUUGGGCUAAUACCGCAUGAGCUCUGAGGAGGAAAGCGGGGGACUCGCAAGGGCCUCGCGCUGCAGGAGCGGCCGAUGUCCGAUUAGCUAGUUGGUGGGGUAAAGGCUCACCAAGGCGACGAUCGGUAGCUGGUCUGAGAGGAUGAUCAGCCACACUGGGACUGAGACACGGCCCAGACUCCUACGGGAGGCAGCAGUGGGGAAUUUUGGACAAUGGGGGCAACCCUGAUCCAGCCAUGCCGCGUGAGUGAAGAAGGCCUUCGGGUUGUAAAGCUCUUUCGGACGGAACGAAAUGGUUACGGUCAACACCCGUGACUGAUGACGGUACCGUAAGAAGAAGCACCGGCUAACUACGUGCCAGCAGCCGUGGUAAUACGUAGGGUGCGAGCGUUAAUCGGAAUUACUGGGCGUAAAGCGUGCGCAGGCGGUUUCGUAAGCUGGAGGUGAAAUCCCCGGGCUCAACCUGGGAAUGGCCUUCAGGACUGCGAGGCUAGAGUGCGGCAGAGGGAGGUGGAAUUCCACGUGUAGCAGUGAAAUGCGUAGAUAUGUGGAGGAACACCGAUGGCGAAGGCAGCCUCCUGGGCCAGCACUGACGCUCAUGCACGAAAGCGUGGGGAGCAACAGGAUUAGAUACCCUGGUAGUCCACGCCCUAAACGAUGUCAACUAGGUGUUGGGGAAGGUGACUUCCUUAGUACCGCAGCUAACGCGUGAAGUUGACCGCCUGGGGAGUACGGCCGCAAGGUUAAAACUCAAAGGAAUUGACGGGGACCCGCACAAGCGGUGGAUGAUGUGGAUUAAUUCGAUGACAACGCGAAAAACCUUACCUACCCUUGACAUGCCAGGAACUCUGCUGAGAGGUGGAGGUGCCCGAAAGGGAGCCUGGACACAGGUGCUGCAUGGCUGUCGUCAGCUCGUGUCGUGAGAUGUUGGGUUAAGUCCCGCAACGAGCGCAACCCUUGUCGUUAAUUGCCAUCAUUUAGUUGGGCACUUUAGCGAGACUGCCGGUGACAAACCGGAGGAAGGUGGGGAUGACGUCAAGUCCUCAUGGCCCUUAUGGGUAGGGCUUCACACGUCAUACAAUGGCGCAUACAGAGGGUUGCGAAGCCGCGAGGUGAAGCCAAUCCCAGAAAGUGCGUCGUAGUCCGGAUUGCAGUCUGCAACUCGACUGCAUGAAGUCGGAAUCGCUAGUAAUCGCGGAUCAGCAUGUCGCGGUGAAUACGUUCCCGGGUCUUGUACACACCGCCCGUCACACCAUGGGAGUGGGUUCCACCAGAAGCAGGUAGCCUAACCGCAAGGGGGGCGCCUACCACGGUGAGAUUCAUGACUGGGGUGAAGUCGGAACAAGGUA